Molecule: unclassified non-coding RNA, 304 nt
Filed under: plant metagenome
Description: partial contains 5.8S ribosomal RNA, internal transcribed spacer 2, and large subunit ribosomal RNA
Rfam family: 5.8S ribosomal RNA (bases 1-105)
Source: RNAcentral
GAAAUGCGAUAAGUAGUGUGAAUUGCAGAAUUCAGUGAAUCAUCGAAUCUUUGAACGCACAUUGCGCCCUUUGGUAUUCCAAAGGGCAUGCCUGUUCGAGCGUCAUUUGUACCCUCAAGCUUUGCUUGGUGUUGGGCGUCUUGUCUCCAGUUCGCUGGGGACUCGCCUUAAAGUUAUUGGCAGCCGGCCUACUGGUUUCGGAGCGCAGCACAAGUCGCGCUCUCUUCCAGCCAAGGUCAGCAUCCACAAAGCCUUUUUUCAACUUUGACCUCGGAUCAGGUAGGGAUACCCGCUGAACUUAAGC